RNAcentral lists this ribosomal RNA (433 nucleotides) under uncultured bacterium. RNAcentral's name for it is "partial 16S ribosomal RNA". It matches the Rfam family "Bacterial small subunit ribosomal RNA", at positions 29 to 507 of the family's 1533-position model. The record is from RNAcentral.
AGCGAACGCUGGCGGCAGGCCUAACACAUGCAAGUCGAACGAACUCUUCGGAGUUAGUGGCGGACGGGUGAGUAACACGUGGGAACGUGCCUUUUGGUUCGGAAUAACUCAGGGAAACUUGUGCUAAUACCGAAUGUGCCCUUCGGGGGAAAGAUUUAUCGCCAUUAGAGCGGCCCACGUCUGAUUAGCUAGUUGGUGAGGUAACGGCUCACCAAGGCGACGAUCAGUAGCUGGUCUGAGAGGAUGACCAGCCACACUGGGACUGAGACACGGCCCAGACUCCUACGGGAGGCAGCAGUGGGGAAUCUUGCGCAAUGGGCGAAAGCCUGACGCAGCCAUGCCGCGUGAAUGAUGAAGGUCUUAGGAUUGUAAAAUUCUUUCACCGGGGACGAUAAUGACGGUACCCGGAGAAGAAGCCCCGGCUAACUUCGUG